GCCCUCAUCGUCUAGCGGCCCAGGACAUCGCCCUUUCAAGGCGAAAACGGCGGUUCGACUCCGCCUGGGGGCACCA
This 76-nucleotide transfer RNA is filed under the name Caldisericota bacterium. Its description in RNAcentral is "tRNA-Glu". It matches the Rfam family "tRNA". From Rfam's summary of the family: Transfer RNA (tRNA) molecules are approximately 80 nucleotides in length. Lineage: Bacteria; Pseudomonadati; Caldisericota. The record is from RNAcentral.